UAAAUAGAAAGCUUACUUUCUACAACGGCAAGAGCUUUGGACUCGACGGGAGGUGGAUUAUGAAUUUUCUCAUCCGCGACUUCCACCGGAGCAGGAGUCGGUUCCUUCGCCGGAGCUAAAACAGCCGGAGAUUCUACGUCAACCUUACUCGUCUUUUGCUCCUCCGCCAUUGUCUCUCAGCCGAAGAAGAAGAACAGA
RNAcentral lists this small RNA (198 nucleotides) under Arabidopsis thaliana (thale cress). RNAcentral describes it as "ATSL127660". The record is from RNAcentral. Lineage: Eukaryota; Viridiplantae; Streptophyta; Magnoliopsida; Brassicales; Brassicaceae.